Non-coding RNA from Dipodomys ordii (Ord's kangaroo rat), 65 nucleotides. The record is from Rfam. NCBI's taxonomy places the organism in Eukaryota, Metazoa, Chordata, Mammalia, Rodentia, Heteromyidae.
GGUGGCUCAGUGUUAGAGUGCUUGCCUUGCAUGCAUGAGGCCCUGGGUUCAAUUCCUCAGCACCA